Bufo bufo (common toad) is the source of this 934-nucleotide long non-coding RNA. RefSeq lists it as uncharacterized. The transcript has 3 exons. NCBI's taxonomy places the organism in Eukaryota, Metazoa, Chordata, Amphibia, Anura, Bufonidae. The record is from RefSeq and is a predicted model, not a curated record.
GCCACUGCAGUUGCCAGGGGUAGAAGCGACUGGCGCGGGACAUGGUAGUCCAUGGUGACCAUUCGGAUAAAUGUCCACCCGUAUAUCACAUGGACGUCUUGAGUCCACCAGAGCGGGCGCUGUUGUUCUUAGCAGCUCUUUGCUUUGGCUCAUGGAUGGGGACCCCCUUAUGAGAUCUAUACGCCCCAAUAAUAAUAGCAGGCGGGUUGAUCAGGGGCAACGGUAUAAACUUGGGCUAUUCGUCAUGCGUAAUCCCAGCCUAGGAGAUGGCACUCGGUGAAUCUACCGCUGUGAUUUCCUUUCUGCAGCCACGAUCCCUCAAUGUCACCACAGCUGUCCCCUGAAUGAUUACUUGUCAGCAUUUCACGAAGCAGGACCGCAAGAGCCCAGCGCUGCGUCUAAAGCUCAUCCAUCAAAUUCCAAAUAUACAUUCGCAGCGGGGAAUCGCAGAUUUCCCUCCUAUCUGCUCACACGGACGUAAAAAAAAAAAAAAAAAGGUAUUAACCGGUUGGGCGCCUCUCCAUGCUGUUGCUAUGUCCUGAGGGCCACCAAACCUGAAGUCUUUGCAUCUGUUGGUGACGUCAUGGUAAUAAAUGCUGGUUUCUAAGGGAGACUGUCAUCGCCAUCCCAGCAGGAACGCUGGUCUCGUCCUAUCUCAGACACCGAGAGCAAAAGUUCAUCAGUUAUGACCACGAGAGGCUUCAAUGGCAUCUAGGACCCCGGGCUACGAAGGUCGUUAAAUGAGAUGAGAGGUGGUGGAGGAACAGACCCAAAUGUCAGAUGUUGACACAGACUACAGAGAUGGAUAAGGAGAACUAAGCCUUCAAGUGACCACCAAGAGUUUCCUGUGUGUGGGAGCCCAAGCAAAACCCUAUAGGUGUUAUCCCAUGGUGCAAGGGGCUUACAGUACUACAGAUACCUUCAACCUUCUGUG